AACGAGCGCUGGCGGCGCGCCUAACACAUGCAAGUCGAACGCGAAAGUGUAGCAAUACAUGAGUAAAGUGGCGCACGGGUGAGUAACGCGUAGGUGAUCUACCUUUGUGAUCGGGAUAACCAGCCGAAAGGUUGGCUAAUACUGGAUAGAGCGCAUUUAUCGUAAAGAUGAGUGCGGGAAAUGAGGGCGUAGCAAUACGCUCUUGCACUAAGAUGAGCCUGCGUCUCAUUAGCUAGUUGGUAGGGUAAAGGCCUACCAAGGCAUUGAUGGGUAGCUGGUCUGAGAGGACGAUCAGCCACACUGGAACUGAAACACGGUCCAGACUCCUACGGGAGGCAGCAGUGGGGAAUCUUGCGCAAUGGACGAAAGUCUGACGCAGCGACGCCGCGUGAGUGAAGAAGGCCUUCGGG
This 410-nucleotide ribosomal RNA is filed under the name uncultured bacterium. Its description in RNAcentral is "bacterial SSU rRNA". It matches the Rfam family "Bacterial small subunit ribosomal RNA", at positions 29 to 422 of the family's 1533-position model. The record is from RNAcentral.